CAAAAAAUAAUUUAUUUAGAAUUUUAAUUUUGGAGAUUAAGUGUAUAGGAGGAAAUUUAAGAGAAUCUAUUUUUUUGA
RNAcentral lists this transfer RNA (78 nucleotides) under Acropyga kinomurai. RNAcentral describes it as "tRNA-Pro". Lineage: Eukaryota; Metazoa; Arthropoda; Insecta; Hymenoptera; Formicidae. The record is from RNAcentral.